CAAUAGCGUAUAUUAAAGUUGUUGCGGUUAAAAAGCUCGUAGUUGGAGUUCUGCCAGGUGCCGCCUGUCCGCCCCAGUGGUGAGUACGUGGCGCGCAUUUGGCCCUUUCAAGGGGAGCGUAUCUGCACUUUAUUGUGUGGUGCGGGAUCCUUGACUUUUACUUUGAGGAAAUAGGAGUGUUCCAAGCAGGCUCUCGUCGUGCACAGCUCAGCAUGGAAUAAUAGCAUUGGACCUCGAUUCUAAGCUGUUGGUUGCCAGAAGCGAGGUAAUGAUGAAGAGGGAUAGUUGGGGGCAUUCGUAUUUAACUGUCAGAGGUGAGAUUCUUGGAUUUGUUAAAGACGGACUACUGCGAAAGCAUCUGCCAUGGAUGUUUUCAUUGA
RNAcentral lists this ribosomal RNA (380 nucleotides) under uncultured eukaryote. RNAcentral describes it as "partial 18S ribosomal RNA". It matches the Rfam family "Eukaryotic small subunit ribosomal RNA", at positions 592 to 976 of the family's 1831-position model. The record is from RNAcentral.